AAGAUGAGUUUAGUAUAUGAGAAGAGAUGACUUGAGGAGCUAAGGGAAAUGGAGUUAGGAGAAGAUUGGGCAAGGCCGUACAGAAGCCGUACUAGGCCGUACAGAUUGGGCAAGGUAACUUGACAUCCGUGAACCAAAGUUACUUAGGUAACUUUGUGUGUUGAGAAGAAGCCUUGCUUAUCCUUAUCCGAUCAGACUGUUGCAAAAGGAAGAAGGGAGCGCACAUGACAGCCUGUCCGCGGUUGGCAUAAAGCAAAAGGAACCUUAUCCUUAAGGAGGAAGCUUAUUGGAUCAUUUGAAUUAAAGCAAAAGCUUAUCCCUUGUAAUAGUGUAGUUUCCUAAACCCUAGUCUCUAAUGUCGCCUCUCUAUAUAUUGUAAACUCAUGUCAUUAAUCAAAGUAAGAAAGUUAUGAGUCUCUCUUAGUCUCUUUGUCUCUCAAUGGUUCUAUACUAGACUCUUAAUCUCAUUUCAUACUCAAAUCUCUUCUAAAUCACUUCUAGUCUUUCUUAUUCACUCAGAUUACUCUACUCAAUCCUAAAAGUGAUAUGGUAUCAGAGCCAGGUUCCUAGAGAACUUGGUUUCGUUGGGUUCUUUGAAGAUUCAAGAUUGAAGCUUUGAAGAAACAGUUUGGUGUUCUUGUGUUCUUAAGCGGUUCUGGGUAGUCUUUCUGAGUUCUAUUGGUUGUUUGAAGCUGCUAGUGUUCGCUCAAGACAGUUACCUCAAGAGAAAGUUAUUGAAGUCU
RNAcentral lists this long non-coding RNA (743 nucleotides) under Brassica napus (rape). Its description in RNAcentral is "long non-coding RNA (BNAP_LNC008484)". Lineage: Eukaryota; Viridiplantae; Streptophyta; Magnoliopsida; Brassicales; Brassicaceae. The record is from RNAcentral.